Molecule: ribosomal RNA, 423 nt
Filed under: uncultured eukaryote
Lineage: Eukaryota
Description: bacterial SSU rRNA
Rfam family: Eukaryotic small subunit ribosomal RNA
Source: RNAcentral
GCCAGUAGUCAUAUGCUUGUCUUAAAGAUUAAGCCAUGCAUGUCUAAGUAUAAGCACUUGUACUGUGAAACUGCGAAUGGCUCAUUAUAUCAGUUAUAAUUUAUUUGAUGGUCAUUUACUUGGAUAACCGUGGUAAAUCUAGAGCUAAUACAUGCAUAAAAUCCUGACUGGGAACGGAAAGGAUGUAUUUAUUAGAUACAAAAACCAAUGCACUAAGUUCUCUCGGGAGCUUGGUGGAAAACAUGGUGAUUCAUGAUAACUUUACGAAUCGUAUGGUCUUGUACCGACGAUAGUUCAUUCAAAUUUCUGCCCUAUCAACUUUCGAUGGUAGUAUAGAGGACUACCAUGGUGGUAACGGGUAACGGAGAAUCAGGGUUUGAUUCCGGAGAAGGAGCCUGAGAAACGGCUACUACUUCCAAGGAA